UGGGGAAUAUUGCACAGUGGGCGCAAGCCUGAUGCAGCAACGCCGCGUGAGGGAAGACGGUUUUCGGAUUGUAAACCUCUGUCUUUGGUGACGAAGAAGUGACGGUAGCCAAGGAGGAAGCCACGGCUAAUUACGUGCCAGCAGCCGCGGUAAUACGUAGGUGGCAAGCGUUAUCCGGAAUUACUGGGUGUAAAGGGAGCGCAGGCGGGAGAACAAGUUGGAAGUGAAAUCCAUGGGCUCAACCCAUGAACUGCUUUCAAAACUGUUUUUCUUGAGUAGUGCAGAGGUAGGCGGAAUUCCCGGUGUAGCGGUGGAAUGCGUAGAUAUCGGGAGGAACACCAGUGGCGAAGGCGGCCUACUGGGCACCAACUGACGCUGAGGCUCGAAAGUGUGGGUAGCAAACAGGAUUAGAUACCCUGGUAGU
Molecule: ribosomal RNA, 424 nt
Filed under: uncultured Faecalibacterium sp.
Lineage: Bacteria; Bacillati; Bacillota; Clostridia; Eubacteriales; Oscillospiraceae
Description: bacterial SSU rRNA
Rfam family: Bacterial small subunit ribosomal RNA
Source: RNAcentral